This 345-nucleotide long non-coding RNA is filed under the name Nicotiana tabacum (common tobacco). Its description in RNAcentral is "long non-coding RNA (NTAB_LNC008810)". Lineage: Eukaryota; Viridiplantae; Streptophyta; Magnoliopsida; Solanales; Solanaceae. The record is from RNAcentral.
GGUCUCGACCCCAGCCCCCCACCAUAGCUAGAUUGCCGCUCAACGAAUGGUCGAGGAGGAGGUGGUGGCUGAGAGUAGUACCCGGGGUAGUAACUGGCGUACGGAUCAGAGUAGCUGCCGCAAGGAUAGGAAUGCGACGGAGGAGGCGGUGGAGAUGGAGAAGCAGGUGGCGGCGGAGGAGGGUGUGAGGAGUACGGAGAAGGAGAAUAUGAUCUAUAGGUAGGCGGCGGCGGAGGGGCAGUAGAGUAAUAGUAGCUAGAAGGAGGGGGUAUUUGGUAAUCCUGGGGGUUUGGAGAUUCACGAAUAGCGAGCUUCAGUCGGAUCUUACCGUGAGGACGACCCGAG